GGUCCCGCCUGCCCAGUGACUCUUUAAACGGCCGCGGUAUCCUAACCGUGCAAAGGUAGCAUAAUCACUUGUCCCCUAAAUAGGGACUGGAAUGAACGGCUUAAUGAGGACAAAACUGUCUCUUACGGACUAGCCAAUGAAAUUGAUCCUUCAGUACAAAAGCUGGAAUUAGCCCAUAAGACGAGAAGACCCUGUGGAGCUUCAAAACCAAAAUCACCAAACAUGCUUCAUGGGUUUUUAGUUGGGGCGACUUUGGAGCAAAAAAAACCCUCCAAACAUAAAUCUAUUUAUUAAGACUAACACACCAAAAAAAAUAUUAUAGACCCAGCAGUAUCUAUUUACUGNCUGACCAAUGAACCAAGUUACCCCAGGGAUAACAGCGCCAUCCUCUUCUAGAGUCCUUAUCGACAAGAGGG
RNAcentral lists this ribosomal RNA (416 nucleotides) under Podarcis peloponnesiacus lais. RNAcentral's name for it is "partial 16S ribosomal RNA". It matches the Rfam family "Bacterial large subunit ribosomal RNA", at positions 1851 to 2516 of the family's 2925-position model. Lineage: Eukaryota; Metazoa; Chordata; Lepidosauria; Squamata; Lacertidae. The record is from RNAcentral.